Salmo salar (Atlantic salmon) is the source of this 54-nucleotide non-coding RNA. The record is from Rfam. Lineage: Eukaryota; Metazoa; Chordata; Actinopteri; Salmoniformes; Salmonidae.
AAUGCACCAAUUUGUAAGUCGCUCCUGAUAAGAGCGUCUGCUAAAUGACGUAAA